GGAAUGUGCCCUUUGGUACGGAACAACACAGGGAAACUUGUGCUAAUACCGUAUGUGCCCUUCGGGGGAAAGAUUUAUCGCCAUUGGAGCAGCCCGCGUUGGAUUAGGUAGUUGGUGGGGUAAAGGCCCACCAAGCCGACGAUCCAUAGCUGGUCUGAGAGGAUGAUCAGCCACACUGGGACUGAGACACGGCCCAGACUCCUACGGGAGGCAGCAGUAGGGAAUCUUGCGCAAUGGGCGAAAGCCUGACGCAGCCAUGCCGCGUGAAUGAUGAAGGUCUUAGGAUUGUAAAAUUCUUUCACCGGGGAAGAUAAUGACGGUACCCGGAGAAGAAGCCCCGGCUAACUUCGUGCCAGCAGCCGCGGUAAUACGAAGGGGGCUAGCGUUGCUCGGAAUUACUGGGCGUAAAGGGCGCGUAGGCGGACAGUUUAGUCAGAGGUGAAAGCCCAGGGCUCAACCUUGGAAUUGCCUUUGAUACUGGCUGUCUUGAGUUCGGGAGAGGUGAGUGGAAUGCCGAGUGUAGAGGUGAAAUUCGUAGAUAUUCGGCGGAACACCAGUGGCGAAGGCGACUCACUGGCCCGAUACUGACGCUGAGGCGCGAAAGCGUGGGGAGCAAACAGG
This 621-nucleotide ribosomal RNA is filed under the name Phenylobacterium sp. T2-YC6789. RNAcentral describes it as "bacterial SSU rRNA". It matches the Rfam family "Bacterial small subunit ribosomal RNA", at positions 121 to 776 of the family's 1533-position model. The record is from RNAcentral. Lineage: Bacteria; Pseudomonadati; Pseudomonadota; Alphaproteobacteria; Caulobacterales; Caulobacteraceae.